RNAcentral lists this ribosomal RNA (307 nucleotides) under uncultured bacterium. RNAcentral describes it as "bacterial SSU rRNA". It matches the Rfam family "Bacterial small subunit ribosomal RNA", at positions 28 to 334 of the family's 1533-position model. The record is from RNAcentral.
GAUGAACGCUAGCGGCAGGCCUAAUACAUGCAAGUCGAACGGGAUCUAGAAGCUUGCUUUUAGUGAGAGUGGCGCACGGGUGCGUAACGCGUAUGCAACCUACCUUAUACAGGGGGAUAGCCCGGGGAAACUCGGAUUAAUACCCCAUGGUACAUUUGGAUGGCAUCAUUUAAAUGUUAAAGAUUUAUCGGUAUAAGAUGGGCAUGCGUAGGAUUAGCUAGUUGGUAAGGUAACGGCUUACCAAGGCGACGAUCCUUAGGGGUUCUGAGAGGAAGGUCCCCCACACUGGUACUGAGAUACGGACCAG